UACGGAGGGUGCAAGCGUUAUCCGGAUUCACUGGGUUUAAAGGGUGCGUAGGUGGCUUUGUAAGUCAGUGGUGGAAUCUCGGAGCUUGACUCCGAAACUGCCAUUGAUACUGCUUAGCUUGAAUCAGGUAGAGGUGGAUGGAAUAUUACAUGUAGCGGUGAAAUGCUUAGAUAUGUAAUAGAACACCGAUUGUGAAGGCAGUUCACUGUGCCUGCAUUGACACUGAGGCACGAAAGCGUGGGGAUCAAACAGG
Molecule: ribosomal RNA, 253 nt
Filed under: uncultured bacterium
Lineage: Bacteria
Description: partial 16S ribosomal RNA
Rfam family: Bacterial small subunit ribosomal RNA
Source: RNAcentral